AGAAUUGCCAAAUUGAUCUUUCUACUUGGAUGUCUGACAGAGCCCUCAAGCUCAACAUGUUCAAAACUGAGCUCUUUUUACAAGGUGUUCACUGAAAAUAUGGUUCACCUUUUUAAAAACAUCAUGGUAGGCGGAGCUUCAAGAUGGCGGAAGAGUAAGACGUGGAGAUCACCUUCCUCCCUACAAAUACAUCAGAAAUACAUUUACGUAUGGAACAACUCCUACAGAACACCUACUGAACGCUGGUAGAAGACCUCAGACCUCCCAAAAGGAGAGGAGAUUAAGAGCGCCGCUUAAAGGAGCUCCAGAGACGGGCGCGAGCCGCGGCUAACAGCGCGGACCCCGGAGACGGGCAUGAGACGCUAAGGCUGCUGCUGCCGCCACCAAGAAGCCUGUGUGCGAGCACAGGUCCUAUCCACACCCCCCUUCUGGGGAGACUGUGCAGCCCGCCACUACCAGGGUCCCGGGUUCCAGGGACAGCUUCCCCAGGAAAACAAACGGCGCGCCUCAAGCUGGUGCGACGUCACGCCGGCCUCUGCCUCCACAGGCUUGCCCCGCACUCUGUACCCGUCCCCUCUCCUCACCCCGGCCUGAGUGAGCCAGAGUCCCUGAAGCAGCUGCUCCUUUAACCCCGUCCUGUCUGAGCAAAGAACAGACGCCCUCAGGCAACCUACACGCAGAGGUGGGUCCAAAUGCAAAGCUGAACCCCGGGAGCUGUGCAAACAAAGAAGAGAAAGGGAAACCUCUCCCAGCAGCCUCAGGAGCAGCGGAUUAAAUCUCCACAAUCAAUUUGAUGUACCCUGCAUCUGUGGAAUACCUGAAUAGACAACGAAUCAUCCCAAAUUGAGUAGGUGGGCUUUGGGAGCAACGAUAUACAUAUUUUUUUCCCUUUUUCUUUUUUUGUGAGUGUAUAUGUAUAUGCUUCUGUGGGAGAUUUUGUCUGUAUAGCUUUGCUUUUACCAUUUGUCCUAGGGUUCUGUCUGUCCGUUUUCUGGUUUUUUUUUUUUUUUUUUUUGUAUAGAUUUUAGCACUUGUUAUCAUUGGUGGUUUUGUUUUUUGGUUUGGUUGCUCUCUUCUUUCUUUUUUUUUAUUACUUGAAAAAAAUUUUUUUCAUAAUCUUUAUUUUAAUAACUUUUUAUUUUAUUUUACUUUAUAUUAUCUUCUUUUUUCUUUCUUUAUUUCUCCCUUUUAUUCUGAGCCGUGUGGAGGACAGGCUCUUGGUGCUCCAGCCAGGUGUCAGGGCUGUGCCUCUGAGGUGGGUGAGACAAGUUCAGGACACUGGUCCACAAGAGACCUUCCAGCUCCACGUGAUAUCAAACAGUGAAAUUCUCCCAGAGAUCUCCAUCUCAACACCAAGACCCAGCUGCACUCAACGACCAGCAAGCUACAGUGCUGGACACCCUAUGCCAAAAAACUAGCAAGACGGGAACACAGCCCUGUCCAUUAGCAGAGAGGCUGCCUAAAAUCAUAAUAAGGCCACAGACACCCCAAAACUCACCAGCAGACGUGGACUUGCCCACCAGAAAGGCAAGAUCCAGCCACAUCCACCAGAACACAGGUACUAGUACCCUCCACCAGGAAGCCUACACAACCCACUGAACCAACCUUAGCCACUGGGGACAGACACGAAAAACAACAGGAACUACAAACCUGCAGCCUGCAAAAAGGAGAACCCAAACACAGUAAGUUAAACAAAAUGAGAAGACAGAGAAACACACAGCAGAUGAAGGAGCAAGGCAAAAACCCACCAGACCUAACAAAUGAAGAGGAAAUAGGCAGUCUACCUGAAAAAGAAUUCAGAAUAAUGAGAGUAAAGGUGAUCCAAAAUCUUGGAAAUAGAAUGGAGAAAAUACAAGAAACGUUUAACAAGGACCUAGAAGAACUAAAGAGAAAACAGGCAAUGAUGAACAACACAAUAAAUCAAAUUAAAAAUUCUCUAGAAGGUAUCAAUAGCAGAAUAACUGAGGCAGAAGAAUGAAUAAGUGACCUGGAAGAUAAAAUAUGGGAAAAACUACUGCAGAGCAUAAUAAAGAAAAAAUAAUGAAAAGAAUUGAGGACAGUCUCAGAGACCUCUGGGACAACAUUAAAUGCACCAACAUUCGCACCAAUAUUCCAUGCAAAUGGAAAGCAGAAGAAAGCUGGAGUAGCAAUUCUCAUAUCAGACAAAAUAGACUUUAAAACAAAGACUAUUACAAGAUACAAAGAAGGACACUACAUAAUGAUCAAGGGAUCAAUCCAAGAAGAAGAUAUAACAGUUGUAAAUAUUUAUGCACCCAACAGAGGGGCACCUCAAUACAUAAGGCAAAUACAGCCAUUAAAGGGGAAAUCGACAGUAACACAAUCAUAGUAGGGGAAUUUAACACCCCACUUUCACCAACGGACAGAUGAUCCAAAAUGAAAAUAAAUAAGGAAACACAAGCUUUAAAUGAUACAUUAAACAAGAUGGACUUAAUUGAUAUUUAUAGGACAUUCCAUCCAAAAAGAACAGAAUACACAUUCUUUUCAAGUGCUCAUGGAACAUUCUCCAGGAUAGAUCAUAUCUUGGGUCACAAAUCAAGCCUUGGUAAGUUUAAGAAAAUUGAGAUCAUAUCAAAUAUCUUUUCCGACCACAAUGCUGUGAGACUAGAUAUCAAUUACAGGAAAAAAUCUGUUUAAAAUACAAACUUAUGGAGGCUAAACAAUACACUACUUAAUAACCAAGAAAUCACUGAAGAAAUCAAAGAGGAAAUCAAAAAAUACCCAGAAACAAAUGACAAUGAAAACACAAUCAUCCAAAACCUAUGGGAUUCAGCGGAAGCAGUUCUAAGAGGGAAGUUUAUAGCAAUACAAUCCUACCUUAAGAAACAGGAAACAUCUCAAAUAAACAACCUAAUCUUGCACCUAAAGCAAUUAGAGAAAGAAGAACAAAAAAAACCCGAAGUUAGCAGAAGGAAAGAAAUCAUAAAGAUCACAUCAGAAAUAAAUGAAAAAGAAAUGAAGGAAAUGAUAGCACAGACCAAUAAAACUAAAAGCUGGUUCUUUGAAAAGAUAAACUAAAUUGGUAAACCAUUAGCCAGACUCAUCAAGAAAAAAGGGAGAAGACUCAAAUCAAUAGAAUUAGAAAUGAAAAAGGAGAAGUAACAAAUGACACUGCAGAAAUACAAAGGAUCAUGAGAGAUUACUACAAGCAACUCUAUGCCAAUAAAAUGGACAACCUGGAAGAAAUGGACAAAUCUUUAGAAAUACACAACCUUCUGAGACUGAACCAGGAAGAAAUAGAAAAUAUGAAUAGACCAAUCACAGGCACUGAAAUUGAAACUGUGAUUAAAAAUCUUCCAACAAACAAAAGCCUAGGACCAGAUGGCUUCACAGGUGAAUUCUAUCAAACAUUUAGAGAAGAGCUAACACCUAUCCUUCUCAAACUCUUCCAAAAUAUAGCAGAGGGAGGGACACUCCCAAACUUAUUCUAUGAGGCCACCAUCCCCCUGAUACCAAAACCAGACCCAGAUGUCACAAAGAAAGAAAACUACAGGCCAGUAUCACUGAUGAACAUAGAUGCAAAAAUCCUCAAGAAAAUACUAGCAAACAGAAUCCAGCAGAACAUUAAAAGCAUCACACACCAUGAUCAAGUGGGGUUUAUCCCAGGAAUGCAAGGAUUCUUCAAUAUACACAAAUCAAUCAAUGUGAUACACCAUAUUAAGAAAUUUAAAGAGAAAAACCAUAUGAUCAUCUCAAUAGAUGCAGAGAAAGGUUUCAAAAAAAUUCAACACCCACUUACGAUAAAAACUCUCCAGAAAGUAGACAUAGAGGGAACUUUCCUCCACAUAAUAAAGGCCAUAUAUGACAAACCCACAGCCAACAUCAUCGUCAAUGGUGAAAAACUGAAACCGUUUCCACUAAGAUCAGGAACAAGACAAGGUUGCACACUCUCACCGCUAUUAUUAUUAUAGUUUUGGAAGUUUUAGACACAGCAAUCAGAGAAGAAAAAGAACUAAAAGGAAUCCAAACUGGAAAGGAAGAGUAAAGCUGUCACUGUUUGCAGAUGAAAUGAUACUAUACAUAGAGAAUCCUAAAGAUGCUACCAGAAAACUACUAGAGCUAAUCAAUGAAUUUGGUAAAGUAGCAGGAUACAAAAUUAAUGCACAGAAAUCUCUUGCAUUCCUGUACUCUAAUGAUGAAAAAUCUGAAAGAGAAAUUUAGGAAACGCUCCCAUUUACCACUGCAACAAAAGGAAUAAACCCACCUAAGGAGCCCAAAGACCUGUAUGCAGAAAAUUAUAAGACACUGAUGAAAGAAAUUAAAGAUGAUACAAAUAGAUGGAGAGAUAUACCAUGUUCUUGGAUUGGAAGAACCCACAUUGUGAAAAUGACUCUACUACCCAAAGUGAUCUACAGAUUCAAUGCAAUCCCUAUCAAACUACCAAUGGCAUUUUUCACAGAACUAGAAUAAAAAAUUUUGCAAUUUGUAUGGAAACACAAAAGACCCCGAAUAGCCAAAGCAAUCUUGAAGAAGAAAAACGGAGCUGGAGGAAUCAGGCUCCCUGACUUCAGACUAUAUUACAAACAUACAGUAACCAAGACAGUAUGGUACUGGCACGAAAACAGAAAUACAGAUCAAUGGAACAGGAUAGAAAGCCCAGAGAUAAACCCACACACAUAUAGUCACCUUAUCUUUGAUAAAGGAGGCAAGAAUAUACAGUGGAGAAAAGACAGCCUCUUCAAUAAGUGGUGCUGGGAAAACUGGACAGCUACAUGUAAAAGAAUGAAUUUAGAACACUACACAAAAAUAAACUCAAAAUGGAUUAAAGACCUAGAUGUAAGGCCAGACACUAUCAAAUUCUUAGAGGAAGACAUGGGCAGAACACUCUAUGACAUAAAUCACAGCAAGAUCCUUUUUGACCCACCUCCUAGAGAAAUGGAAA
Long non-coding RNA from Orcinus orca (killer whale), 4900 nucleotides. RefSeq lists it as uncharacterized. NCBI's taxonomy places the organism in Eukaryota, Metazoa, Chordata, Mammalia, Artiodactyla, Delphinidae. The record is from RefSeq and is a predicted model, not a curated record. The transcript is spliced from 3 exons.